UUAUUGAGUAACAAUUAGAGGGCAAGUCUGGUGCCAGCAGCGCGGUAAUUCCAGCUCUAAUAGCGUAUAUUAAUACUGUUGCAGUUAAAACGCUCGUAGUUGAACUUAGAAUUAUUACAAGUUUGGGUUUUAAUUGAUUUUAAACUGCUUGCUUAAUUCUUAUCUACUAGAUACUCUAUUCUGUACUUAAUUGUAUGGAAUAUCACCUAGCCAGUGGAACUUUGGUAGAAUAAUGCCUUUUUUAAUACCAGAGUGUAAAAACUUGAAGUGUUAAAUUGGGAUCACAUUAUUUUAUUGAAGUGGGGUUCUAGUUAAUUUACUUUGAGUAAAUUAGAGUGUUCAAAGCAGCCUCUUGGGGCUUUGAAUAGAUUUAGCAUGGGAUAAUAGAAUAGGAUUUGAUAAUCUAUUUGUUGGUUUGAAUUAAUCAAAUAAUGAUUAAUAGGG
RNAcentral lists this ribosomal RNA (444 nucleotides) under uncultured eukaryote. RNAcentral's name for it is "partial 18S ribosomal RNA". It matches the Rfam family "Eukaryotic small subunit ribosomal RNA", at positions 534 to 877 of the family's 1831-position model. The record is from RNAcentral.